GGUUGCUAACCCCUUGGGUGCUCCCGUGUUGACUAGUCAGUGUUGGCUAAGGUGGGUAAUGGCUUUGUUAGGAUCCGUACCGUCACUAAGCUGAUCGCGAUACGGUACCCUACUUGUGGGAAAAGUGUACAACCUCUGCAGAGUUAAAACCUAUCCGGGUAGCCGUGUCCACGGCAUUGGACGAGUUACGGCUCGGUCACACAACUAGCU
Molecule: long non-coding RNA, 210 nt
Filed under: Setaria viridis
Lineage: Eukaryota; Viridiplantae; Streptophyta; Magnoliopsida; Poales; Poaceae
Description: long non-coding RNA (SVIR_LNC008139)
Source: RNAcentral